RNAcentral lists this ribosomal RNA (251 nucleotides) under uncultured prokaryote. RNAcentral describes it as "partial 16S rRNA". It matches the Rfam family "Bacterial small subunit ribosomal RNA", at positions 525 to 775 of the family's 1533-position model. The record is from RNAcentral.
ACGUAGGUGGCAAGCGUUGUCCGGAUUUAUUGGGCGUAGAGCGAGCGCAGGCGGUUUCUUAAGUCUGAUGUGAAAGCCUUCGGCUCAACCGAAGAAGUGCAUCGGAAACUGGGAAACUUGAGUGCAGAAGAGGACAGUGGAACUCCAUGUAUGGCGGUGGAAUGCGUAGAUACAGGGAAGGACGCCAGAGACGAAGGAGGCUAACCGGUCUGUAACUGACGCUUAGGCUCGAAAGCAUGGGUAGCAAUAAG